UUUUUUUUUUUUCAGUAAAAUUACUUUAAAAACACUAGAAAUGUUUUAAUAGAACUCUUUUCAUAGCAAUGAGCAUUUGAAAUACUGGAAGUCCAGUACAUACGCAUGAGUCUGAACUGAAAAAGCACUGCGAAGCUAAUGAUCUAUUUGGGAGAAAUGCAAAAAAUCAACCAAAGCACAAACUGCGAAAACUGUGUGUUUAUAUGGUCAGCCUGACAAUUUUGCAUAUUAUUAUUAUAUGGCAUGGGUCAUAAUAAGGCUUUUACUCAUCAGAUUUACAAGAAAGUUCUCCCCUCAAAUCACUAUUUACCUAACGUAUAUUUACUGUUCCUGAAAGCAAUGAAUUUCAACUUUAACACUUUACAUUCUUUUUUAUUGUAAAAUACUUAAGCAAAAGGCUAGACUAGUCCCAUAGCAGCCACUGUGAUCAUGCUAAUGACAUUUUAAAGGUUUUUUACUUGCAGCAGGUGAGCUAGUUAACCCCUAAUACCUCUGCAGAUCUUUCAGACUGCAUAGUAAGGCCAAAAAGCAAACAAUUUAAGAAGCCAGGCUUGAGCAAUUACUCUGAAAUUUCACUUGGAGUUCAACAUGCUUGCCUGAAGAAGGAACAGGCGAGAAGGGAAAAUGACAGCAGUGGCUGAGUAUUAUUACUUCAAGGUUAACAGUAACACUUUUAAGGUUAAGUUUAUAAUCUUAUGACUGGAGAUCAUACUUAUUAAUUCCCAUUAGUGCUAACAAGAAUAAAUUAUCCCCCUCAUCCCCUCCCCAAGCAAAGAAAAAUCAGUGGCAAGAAAAAUGUAACUGCUAGUCUAAUUGAAUACAAAUAUGUUUCAAUGGCUGAAAGUAAUUAACUUGCUUUAUGCUAUAGGAAAUGAAGUUACACAGGUUAUUCAAACUCAGCUACCACAGAUUCCCCUUUUAUGAAUGAUUUCCUCAGUCCACAGACAAUGCACUUGCAGAUAUCUCCAUAAACCUCUGCAGUUCACACUGGAGUAACUCGGGUAACAUCUGCAACUAACCCUGCUGAGGGUUAGCAACCAGGUGAUACCGCUGCUAAUGCUUCUGAAGGAAGCUUUUGUUGUUGUUGAGACUUUAAAAAAAUAAAAAAUAAAAAUACAUAGGAAGCCUCAACACUGUUUUCUUUCCUAUAAUUUUAAACUAAGCAAAAUGCCAGUCUGCUGCUCUGGCAGUUCAUCUCAUGCCAGAAACUUCAUCUGAUGUUCUGCCAGCAUGCUGCUGCCAUGAUUUUUAGUUUCCCUGAAGAUUACAAGGAACGCAGCGUACACAGAUAGAUUUCACCCCAGAUGCUCUCUACGUUACCACCUUCUUAUGAUAGGUUCACAACACGGACAAGCACAAUCAUUUUAAAAGCAAAAAAAGAAAAAAAAGAAAAAAGGGCAAAUAUUUGAUGAAUACCAAGGAAAAACAGCAGGACAGCAGGGCGGGGAAAAGGUUUGUUUCCAAUCAGCAGAACUCCGUUAAAUUGGAAUUUAUCUUGGAUUGAAAGAAUACUUUCAAUAGAUAACCUGCAACUUGCUGAUGGUGCUACCUACGUAACAGGUGGCACUCUCCUACCUGCUGUGGAUGAAAACACCGGCACGGCUACAGUAAGUACUUCUGGCUUGCAGAUUCUGUACUGCUUGCUCCAGUAGGCACCACACUGCAUCAGUCCAACAGCUACGAGCCUUCCCAGGGUAUUUAGGAGCAUUCUGGCUAAGUUGAUGAGAGGUAGCACCAUGCACACAAAGAAUACCUCAGCUUGCUGGGGGCUGAAACUUGGCACGAGUACACCCCAGAGGAAGGUUGGCAUGGUCCCUGGGGUGCUGGGCACCACACAGCAGGCAAGGGCCUGCCAGUUGCUUUUUGACUAGCAAUGCAUGGCUCAGCUUUCCAGCAAGCAGGGCACCUCACUUCAACUUUAGUGGGUGCUUCUCCACCCAGACUUGCUGUCUGAUGAAAAUGGUGCAGGUGAAACCCGCACAAGUUUUCAUCACACAGUAGCUGAAGGAAAUCUUUUGCCUGCUUCCUGAAGACAAGCUUUUUUCCUCCCUAAGUGGAAAGCUUCUUAGCACUGUGCAAAAUCUCUGAGGAGACGCAACGAUUUCAGAAACGCUUUCUGAUCUUUCUCCCAUUCUGGACCCUUGUGCGUGCCACAGGACUGCGUAACUGAAUCACUGUGGUCCCCAGCUGUAGCCAUCUGCAGGACAUGAAAGUCGGCUUCCACAUGGGAUGCGUUCAAUGGAAAUGGCUCCCCACACUGAAGGGAGAAAUUACACUCAGCAACCAAGAGAUGCGGGGAUCUCAGAGAGCUCACGCUUCAUUUUCUAUGUAUCUUCCCUACUAAUCUCUUCAGAGCAAGAACACUGCCUAUAUCAUCACAUAUAGCUGAUAGUGCGCUCAAGGUACCUGGGCAGCUAACUUCUCACUUUCAAAUAACAUUUUUUGAGAGUCCUCCAAGCAAUGCUGGCAGCAAAAGAGCAAGAAGCAGCUUCUCCUCAGUCUCUCGGGGUCUUAAUGUUACAUGGAUUCCAGACUUCUUUUUGACAGCUGCCACAAUGGUGAUCCUGUCACAUCUCUACAGAAUGAUGGAUCACUGUGACUAAUUUCAGUUGUGUAUGUAUAAAUACAGAACAAAUGUGUGCAGAAAAUAUUUUUAAAUAAAAAUUGACAAGAUGCAUUUAUUGUUCUUGAUUUGUACAAAAGCAUAACUUAAAGGCAGACUAGUAUAAACUUACUUUGUGCCAAAUAUUGUAAGUUUUCAUUCCAAAGAGUUUCUGGUUCAAAACUUCUAAGUACAGUUUCCACCUGGGAAAUCUCUUUUUUAGACCACAGAUAACACAGUACUGUAAAAACAAAAUUAUUCAGUCCUUCAACCAAGCAAAAGUUGUGUUCUGCUUUGAGUUCCGGAGUUUUAGCUACUCAGUGAAUGGUUCACAUGAAAAAUGAGCCAUGCUGGACUGACCUGACGAAAAACCCAUUUGCCUACUGCUCAUCUGUAUUCUGAAAAAAGAUGCAUGUUAGCAUCUGUGACAUGCAAUUUUAGCAAAGAUUGAUAAAUAUAUGUCUAAAAGUAGGGAGACGUGAUUGGAUUUCUCUUUGCUAUUUCAUGCCAGCCAGAAGUAGUGCAAGAAAACCUAUGUUACUUGGCUAAUGGAGUCCCAAAUGUCAUGCAGAAGCUCAAUUAUUCCUGAAAUCAAAGAAGGCUUUCACUCUGAUUUUGCAACUGGGUUUUCCUUUGCACAUGUAAUGUUUGCCCAGGAAGCCUGAAGGGUUUCCUCAGUCUUUGCUGCCUGGCUGCACACAGAUUUCCGACUUGGAGGGUGGAACGGCAGUCUUUGCUGACAAAACCUCUACUGACGUUCACCUCCAUGGAAAAACGCUUCCCCAGGACCAAGCAGGAUACCUCCCUGAGAUGCCCUUUCAAGAGUCUCCAAAGCAGGAAAGUUAAAUUUACUUCAGAGGCUACUUUUCUCACAAAACAGUGUGCAGUGCUUCGGCGCUAUCACGAGUGCUAGCACAAAACUGAUUCAUGUUCUUGUCAUCCAGUAUCCAAGUGCGACUUCCUGGAAUGUAAAAAAUGUGGAUGCACUGUGUAGCAGCAGCUGCACAAGAAAGGGUGCGCAGCUGCAUUAGUGUUCCACAAGACCAUCUGGAGGAAAGUACCAAAAAUAGAUGCAAGCAAGCCUUGUGUAUUUCAGCAAAAUUAAGCGUAAAGAAAAUGGUGUCCAUGCAGUGUUUGAUAGGCUAUAAAAAUUCUUUCAAAUAACAUUUGAUAAGAAAACUAUUUAUCAGUGAAAAUGCAAGAAAACUAUCAGUGAAAAUGCAAGACUAAGGUACAGCUUACAUAUUGUGGGAGUUCACUGAUAUGCGACAGUGGCAUUAUGACCAGUGGCUCACCUUAAAGUAGGUUGCUCGUGGAUUUCCACAUGAGCUAGUGUUUUGUGGUGCUGUACAAAUAAAAAGUUGUGGGGAGCAUAUGAAAUGUCUGUAUUAAACUCCACUGCAUUAAGUAAUCCAAUGCAUGAAAAAAUGAUCCAGCUGCAUUUAAAAUAAAUGCAUAUUACAAUAUCACAUAUAGUAUUAUAAAAUUAUUACUUAUGUGCACAGUCCUGAUAUCUAUAGACAUGGCACCAUGAAGAAAGCCUGGUUCCUAAGUGUUUUUAUAGAUACUUGAUAGUGAUGCAGUUUGCUGUCAGUCAGUCAGAUCAUAAUGUCCCUUCAACUUUGGUACAUUCAGUGCAAAAUAUUUUUGGGAGUUUUUUACUCUUAUAAAAAUAAAAGGCAUUUUUUCCCUUGAGAGUGCUUAAAGAAUAAACACCAGCAGAAUGUCUGUUCGAGCAUGGAAGUGACAAAAACAGAAAGAGCAUUUUAGUUUGCUUGUUUCCUGUUUACACUCUAAGAAACAUAAUAUAAUGAACCUAUAAAAAUAAACAGAAGUCACCGUGUUAGAAUUUUUUUCCUGAUAUGCUGUGAUAAAUUGCUAGUUUCUUCUUAAAAUAGUUUCCAUGCAGUAUAAAUCAAAAAAAUCAGUCCUAUUAAGUUAUUCAGUUCACUGUAACAGCUCAUCUUUUGUCAUACACACCACUGGCAAACACAUUUUCACAAACCUCCUUAAUGCAAGCCAUUGCUGUUGCAUCCUUUGCUGACUUUCCUUCCAAUUCACUUCUGCCCCAGGAACUUGAACUCUAUGGUGCACCCCAUGCAGGCACUCGUAGUCUUAGGUUUAUCAAGUACUGGAUAUGCUGUUGUAACACAUGGCAUUAAGUAAUGUACCUUCAUGAAUAUACUAAAAAAAAAAGAAAAAAAAAGAAAAAAAAAAG
Gallus gallus (chicken) is the source of this 4820-nucleotide long non-coding RNA. NCBI's taxonomy places the organism in Eukaryota, Metazoa, Chordata, Aves, Galliformes, Phasianidae. The record is from Ensembl.